UGACGAUGUCAAGUUCAAUUUGAUCUGGACGGAUCGUGUGCUGAAGCCUGAGAUUCUUCCUGACAUGCGUAUCUACCAGAAAGUCAAUCACUUCCCAAGGUCCACUGAACUGUGCGAAGAUAGUAAUCUCUUCUGGAAUAUACAGCAAAUGAGAUCAUGUAAGCCUGUUUUGCCGUAUCUUCCUUGAUGCUAAGGACAAGCAACUAUUCGACUUCAUGCCGGACUCCUAUGAUCUGCCAAGCGACCGGAUAGAGCUCAAAAAAUGCAUUGAAUUGCCUGAGAACGGGACUGCAGCGUGGAUUGUGAAGCCGCAUGCAACUGGCUCUGGAGAAACGGCUUAUGUGACAGCAACUGUAAGUGA
Molecule: long non-coding RNA, 361 nt
Organism: Sycon ciliatum
Lineage: Eukaryota; Metazoa; Porifera; Calcarea; Leucosolenida; Sycettidae
Exons: 4
Source: RefSeq, a predicted model, not a curated record